Molecule: ribosomal RNA, 1126 nt
Filed under: 'Datura stramonium' witches'-broom phytoplasma
Lineage: Bacteria; Bacillati; Mycoplasmatota; Mollicutes; Acholeplasmatales; Acholeplasmataceae
Description: bacterial SSU rRNA
Rfam family: Bacterial small subunit ribosomal RNA
Source: RNAcentral
AAGUUUGAUCCUGGCUCAGGAUUAACGCUGGCGGCGUGCCUAAUACAUGCAAGUCGAACGGGAACCUCUAAAAGGAGGUUUUUAGUGGCGAACGGGUGAGUAACACGUAAGUAACCUGCCUUUAAGACGAGGAUAACAACCGGAAGGUUACUAAGACUGGAUAGGAAACAAAAAGGCAUCUUUUUGUUUUUAAAAGACCUUCUUACAAGGUAUGCUUAAAGAGGGGCUUGCGCCACAUUAGUUAGUUGGUAGAGUAAAAGCCUACCAAGACGAUGAUGUGUAGCUGGACUGAGAGGUUGAACAGCCACAUUGGGACUGAGACACGGCCCAAACUCCUACGGGAGGCAGCAGUAGGGAAUUUUCGGCAAUGGAGGAAACUCUGACCGAGCAACGCCGCGUGAACGAUGAAGUAUUUCGGUAUGUAAAGUUCUUUUAUUGAAGAAGAAAAAGUAGUGGAAAAACUAUAUUGACGUUAUUCAAUGAAUAAGCCCCGGCUAACUAUGUGCCAGCAGCCGCGGUAAGACAUAGGGGGCGAGCGUUAUCCGGAAUUAUUGGGCGUAAAGGGUGCGUAGGCUGUUAGAUAAGUCUAUAAUUUAAUUUCAGUGCUUAACGCUGUCUUGUUAUAGAAACUGUCUUGACUAGAGUGAGAUAGAGGCAAGCGGAAUUCCAUGUGUAGCGGUAAAAUGUGUAAAUAUAUGGAGGAACACCAGAAGCGUAGGCGGCUUGCUGGGUCUUUACUGACGCUGAGGCACGAAAGCGUGGGUAGCAAACAGGAUUAGAUACCCUGGUAGUCCACGCCGUAAACGAUGAGUACUAAGUGUCGGGGUAAAACUCGGUACUGAAGUUAACACAUUAAGUACUCCGCCUGAGUAGUACGUACGCAAGUAUGAAACUUAAAGGAAUUGACGGGACUCCGCACAAGCGGUGGAUCAUGUUGUUUAAUUCGAAGAUACACGAAAAAUCUUACCAGGUCUUGACAUACUCUGCAAAGCUAUAGAAAUAUAGUGGAGAUCAGGGAUACAGGUGGUGCAUGGUUGUCGUCAGUUCGUGUCGUGAGAUGUUAGGUUAAGUCCUAAAACGAACGCAACCCUUGUCGUUAAUUGCCAGCACAUAAUGGUGGGGACUU